AGGAAUUUAGGUAAAUAUAACAUUAAACCUAGAACCUUCAAAGUUCUCAAUGAAAGUG
This 58-nucleotide transfer RNA is filed under the name Rachovia brevis. RNAcentral's name for it is "tRNA-Trp". Lineage: Eukaryota; Metazoa; Chordata; Actinopteri; Cyprinodontiformes; Rivulidae. The record is from RNAcentral.